This 497-nucleotide ribosomal RNA is filed under the name uncultured bacterium. RNAcentral describes it as "partial 16S ribosomal RNA". It matches the Rfam family "Bacterial small subunit ribosomal RNA", at positions 28 to 507 of the family's 1533-position model. The record is from RNAcentral.
GAUGAACGCUGGCGGCGUGCCUAAUACAUGCAAGUCGAGCGAACAGACGAGGAGCUUGCUCCUCUGACGUUAGCGGCGGACGGGUGAGUAACACGUGGAUAACCUACCUAUAAGACUGGGAUAACUUCGGGAAACCGGAGCUAAUACCGGAUAAUAUAUUGAACCGCAUGGUUCAAUAGUGAAAGACGGUUUUGCGGUCACUUAUAGAUGGAUCCGCGCCGCAUUAGCUAGUUGGUAAGGUAACGGCUUACCAAGGCAACGAAGCGUAGCCGACCUGAGAGGAUGAUAGCCCACCCUAGAACGUGACCGGGGACCAGCCUCCUGCGAGAGGGACCAGUGGGCAAUCUGCCGCAGUAGGCGAGAACAUGGCGCAACGACGCCACGUCAGUGACAGAAAUCUUCGGAUCGUGAAGCUCUGUUAUUAGGUGGGAACAGCUUUGUAAGUAACUGAGCACGUCUUGACGGUACCUAAUCAAGAAGCAACGGCUAACUACGUG